AACGCUGGCGGCGUGCCUAAUACAUGCAAGUAGAACGCUGAAGAGAGGAGCUUGCUCUUCUUGGAUGAGUUGCGAACGGGUGAGUAACGCGUAGGUAACCUGCCUUGUAGCGGGGGAUAACUAUUGGAAACGAUAGCUAAUACCGCAUAACAAUGGGUGACACAUGUCAUUUAUUUGAAAGGGGCAAUUGCUCCACUACAAGAUGGACCUGCGUUGUAUUAGCUAGUAGGUGAGGUAACGGCUCACCUAGGCGACGAUACAUAGCCGACCUGAGAGGGUGAUCGGCCACACUGGGACUGAGACACGGCCCAGACUCCUACGGGAGGCAGCAGUAGGGAAUCUUCGGCAAUGGGGGCAACCCUGACCGAGCAACGCCGCGUGAGUGAAGAAGGUUUUCGGAUCGUAAAGCUCUGUUGUAAGUCAAGAACGAGUGUGAGAGUGGAAAGUUCACACUGUGACGGUAGCUUACCAGAAAGGGACGGCUAACUACGUGCCAGCAGCCGCGGUAAUACGUAGGUCCCGAGCGUUGUCCGGAUUUAUUGGGCGUAAAGCGAGCGCAGGCGGUUUGAUAAGUCUGAAGUUAAAGGCUGUGGCUCAACCAUAGUUCGCUUUGGAAACUGUCAAACUUGAGUGCAGAAGGGGAGAGUGGAAUUCCAUGUGUAGCGGUGAAAUGCGUAGAUAUAUGGAGGAACACCGGUGGCGAAAGCGGCUCUCUGGUCUGUAACUGACGCUGAGGCUCGAAAGCGUGGGGAGCGAACAGGAUUAGAUACCCUGGUAGUCCACGCCGUAAACGAUGAGUGCUAGGUGUUGGAUCCUUUCCGGGAUNUCAGUGCCGCAGCUAACGCAUUAAGCACUCCGCCUGGGAGUACGACCGCAAGGUU
Molecule: ribosomal RNA, 881 nt
Filed under: uncultured Streptococcus sp.
Lineage: Bacteria; Bacillati; Bacillota; Bacilli; Lactobacillales; Streptococcaceae
Description: bacterial SSU rRNA
Rfam family: Bacterial small subunit ribosomal RNA
Source: RNAcentral